UCAGGAAACUUCCACAAUGGGCGAAAGCCUGAUGGAGCGACGUCGCGUGAUGGACGAAGUGCUUCGGCACGUAAACAUCUUUUAUGUGGGAUGAAAUUAUUGACAGUACCACAUGAAUAAGGGGCUCCUAACUCUGUGCCAGCAGGAGCGGUAAUACAGAGGCCCCAAGCGUUAUCCGGAAUCACUGGGCGUAAAGGGUGUCGAGGCGGUUGUAUUAGUCGUUCGUAAAAUCUACGAGCUUAACUUGUAGGCGGCGAACGAAACGGUACGACUUGAGGUUUGGAGAGGUGCGUGGAACUCACGGUGUAGGGGUGAAAUCCGUUGAUAUCGUGGGGAACACCAAAGGCGAAGGCAGCGCACUGGCCAAAAUCUGACGCUCACACACGAAAGCUAGGGUAGCGAAGAGGAUUAGAUACCCAGGUAGUCCCUGAGCGGGCUGGCAAGGCGCAU
RNAcentral lists this ribosomal RNA (450 nucleotides) under uncultured bacterium. RNAcentral's name for it is "bacterial SSU rRNA". It matches the Rfam family "Bacterial small subunit ribosomal RNA", at positions 355 to 825 of the family's 1533-position model. The record is from RNAcentral.